GACGAACGCUGGCGGCGUGCUUAACACAUGCAAGUCGAACGGAAAGGCCCUGCUUUUGUGGGGUGCUCGAGUGGCGAACGGGUGAGUAACACGUGAGUAACCUGCCCUUGACUUUGGGAUAACUUCAGGAAACUGGGGCUAAUACCGGAUAGGAGCUCCUGCUGCAUGGUGGGGGUUGGAAAGUUUCGGCCGUUGGGGAUGGACUCGCGGCUUAUCAGCUUGUUGGUGGGGUAGUGGCUUACCAAGGGUUUGACGGGUAGCCGGCCUGAGAGGGUGACCGGGCACAUUGGGACUGCGGUAGGGACCAGACUCCUACGGGAGGCAGCAGGGGGGAAUAUUGCACAAUGGGCGGAAGCCUGAGGCAGCGGCGCCGCGUGCGGGAUGACGGCCUUCGGGUUGUAAACCGCUGUCGCCUGUGACGAAGCGGGAGUGACGGUAAUGGGUAAAGAAGCACCGGCUAACUACGUG
Molecule: ribosomal RNA, 468 nt
Filed under: uncultured bacterium
Lineage: Bacteria
Description: partial 16S ribosomal RNA
Rfam family: Bacterial small subunit ribosomal RNA
Source: RNAcentral